This 377-nucleotide ribosomal RNA is filed under the name uncultured Glomeromycotina. Its description in RNAcentral is "SSU rRNA". It matches the Rfam family "Eukaryotic small subunit ribosomal RNA", at positions 715 to 1089 of the family's 1831-position model. The record is from RNAcentral. Lineage: Eukaryota; Fungi; Glomeromycota.
AUGUCAUUAAUUUGGUGUUAGCGGGAAGUUAGGACUGUUACUUUGAAAAAAUUAGAGUGUUUAAAGCAGGCUAUCGGCUUGAAUACAUUAGCAUGGAAUAAUGAAAUAGGACGUUUGAUCCUAUUUUGUUGGUUUCUAGGAUUGACGUAAUGAUUAAUAGGGAUAGUUGGGGGCAUUAGUAUUCAAUUGUCAGAGGUGAAAUUCUUGGAUUUAUUGAAGACUGACUACUGCGAAAGCAUUUGCCAAGGAUGUUUUCAUUAAUCAAGAACGAAAGUUAGGGGAUCGAAGACGAUCAGAUACCGUCGUAGUCUUAACCAUAAACUAUGCCGACUAGGGAUCGGUUGAUGUUAAUUUUUUAAUGACUCAUUCGGCGCCUU